CAUGCAAGUCUCCGCACCCCCGUGAGAACGCCCCCAUUUUCCUAAAAGGAAUAAGGAGCUGGUAUCAGGCACAAUUCUUUGCCCAAGACACCUAGUUCAACCACACCCCCAAGGGUAAUCAGCAGUGAUUAACAUUGAAUAUAAGCGAUAGCUUGACUCAGUUAAAGUAGAUAGGGCUGGCAAAUCUGGUGCCAGCCGCCGCGGUUACACCAUGAAGCCCGAAUUGAUUUUUUUCGGCGUAAAGUGUGAUUAAAGUACUAAUAAAUUAUAGCUCAACCAGAAUUAAGCCGUAACACGCUUGUUCCUGAGAAACCCAAAAACGAAAGUUACUAUAAUUAAUUUACUUGAACUCACGAUAGCUAGGAGACAAACUGGGAUUAGAUACCCCACUAUGCUAGCCAUAAACUUUAAAUUACAACCAUAUACGCCAGGGAACUACGAGCCAAGCUUAAAACCCAAAGGACUUGACGGUACCCCACAUCCACCUAGAGGAGCCUGUCCUAUAAUCGAUAACCCCCGCUCAACCUCACCAUUUUUAGUAAAUCAACCUGUAUACCUCCGUCGCCAGCUUACCACAUGAGUGGCUUCUAGUAAGUUUAAUGUUACUUCAUCAGUACGUCAGGUCAAGGUGCAGUAAAUAAAAUGGGAAAAGAUGGGCUACACUCUCUACCUUAGAGAAUACGAAAGACUAUUUAUGAAAUCUAGUCAGAAGGCGGAUUUAGUAGUAAAAAGAGACCAUAAAGCUCCUUUUAACAAGGCACUGGGGUGCGUACACACCGCCCGUCACCCCCUUCAAGGCCAAAAAAAGUACUUAACACUAGAAAGUCAACCAGAAGA
This 837-nucleotide non-coding RNA is filed under the name Ecnomiohyla minera (Guatemala treefrog). RNAcentral describes it as "partial 12S ribosomal RNA". It matches the Rfam family "Bacterial small subunit ribosomal RNA". The record is from RNAcentral. Lineage: Eukaryota; Metazoa; Chordata; Amphibia; Anura; Hylidae.